GGUUCCGUAGCUCAGUGGCAGAGCGUGCGACUGUUAAUCGCGAGGUCGAGGGUUCGAUGCCCUCCGGAACCG
This is a transfer RNA of Ectocarpus siliculosus, 72 nucleotides long. It matches the Rfam family "tRNA". From Rfam's summary of the family: Transfer RNA (tRNA) molecules are approximately 80 nucleotides in length. The record is from Rfam. NCBI's taxonomy places the organism in Eukaryota, Phaeophyceae, Ectocarpales, Ectocarpaceae.